AGCGGAGUUGACUCUAGUACGAGAGGACCGUGUUGAACAAACCUCUGGUGUAUCAGUUGUGCCGCCAGGUGCACCGCUGAGUAGCUACGUUUGGAAGAGAUAAGCACUGAAAGCAUAUAAGUGCGAAACUCGCCGCAAGAUUAGACUUCUUUAAAGGGUCGUUGUAGACUACAACGUUGAUAGGCUAUAGAUGUAAAGGCAGUGAUGUCAUAGUCGAGUAGUACUAAUUACCCAUAGACUUUUUCUA
Molecule: ribosomal RNA, 247 nt
Filed under: Gilvimarinus gilvus
Lineage: Bacteria; Pseudomonadati; Pseudomonadota; Gammaproteobacteria; Cellvibrionales; Cellvibrionaceae
Description: partial 23S ribosomal RNA
Rfam family: Bacterial large subunit ribosomal RNA
Source: RNAcentral